GUCUUUGUAGCUUACAAAAAGCAUGACACUGAAGAUGUCAAGACGGUCGUUGCACACACACCCAAAGACA
RNAcentral lists this transfer RNA (70 nucleotides) under Lonchura striata (white-rumped munia). Its description in RNAcentral is "domestica (Bengalese finch) tRNA (ENSLSDG00000000002.1)". The record is from RNAcentral. Lineage: Eukaryota; Metazoa; Chordata; Aves; Passeriformes; Estrildidae. RNAcentral also lists the same sequence under 1 other name.